UCUGUAUUCCUCUUCUCAAGUCUUCUGCUCAGUCUCCCCACAUCAAGUCCACAAGAUCAUGGCCAUGGUGUUGACUGCUGCAAAACUUCCUGAAUGCAGGUGCA
Thalassophryne amazonica is the source of this 104-nucleotide long non-coding RNA. RefSeq lists it as uncharacterized. The record is from RefSeq and is a predicted model, not a curated record. Lineage: Eukaryota; Metazoa; Chordata; Actinopteri; Batrachoidiformes; Batrachoididae. The transcript is spliced from 3 exons.